CCCAAAUUUAUUGAUAAAAACAGGACACAGACAGCCGUAUUAGAUCAGGUAUCAAAGAUAUAUUUCACUACUACAUCAUGAAAUGGCCAUGUUUAUAUCCAUAAUGUUGGUUUCUGUUCUGAGUACAAUAUGUGUAUUUAAGUCAUGCACAUUGUGAGCAAAAACCUCUUAAAUUGCCCAAAGCAAAAAUCCACAUAUUUCUCAUGUGACUGCAUGUAAACUCCUUACAGAUAUAAAUUGCAUGUAAGGUCCUUGAUAUAGCUGCAUAGAAUUUUAUUUUUUUUAUUUUUUUUAAACAUUCUCUGUGCUACCAGAUCUAAAACCGCCUGCUUGCAUGUCUGCAUAAUGCUGGAUUUUAAGGGGUUUCUCACACUCUCAGGCAGUUGAAGGUGACACAAUACAAUUCAUACACCUGCAUGUCUCUAUACAACUCCGAGAGUGUAUGAGAAAUAGG
This is a non-coding RNA of Pelobates cultripes (western spadefoot toad), 454 nucleotides long. Lineage: Eukaryota; Metazoa; Chordata; Amphibia; Anura; Pelobatidae. The record is from the annotation of a GenBank genome assembly.